Molecule: long non-coding RNA, 2264 nt
Organism: Anolis carolinensis (green anole)
Lineage: Eukaryota; Metazoa; Chordata; Lepidosauria; Squamata; Anolidae
Exons: 4
Source: RefSeq, a predicted model, not a curated record
ACAUUCGUAAGCUAUAUCCCAGGAUCCAGACUAAUAUCCAGCCACUUUUCCUAGUCAAAUCCUCUCCCAUUCCUACAUCUUUAAUUUACAUUCACUUUCUCUGGUUUCUUCUUAACAUUUCUCUACCACAAAACACUGAAAGACUCAAUGGAUCCUUUGAAAGUGGGUUUAUAAAUAUGUAUCCAUUCUAACAUGUCUCAGAAAGCAGUAGCAAGAAGUGGGGUAAGACAUUGGAUUCUCUUUUAUUGUGAGCUCAGGAACUGCUAUUAGACUUCUGUUCACAGUUUGUAUUUUUUCCUCUAAUCUUUCUUGUCCUUGUCAGUGAUGGGUCCCAGCUUUCUUAUCUCUGCUUGCCUAUUCUUUGCAAAAUGUUUUCAUUAAACUAGGAUUGCGCCUACUUUAAAAAAAAAACAAUGCAGUUCUAUGAUGGGGAGGGAGGAGGAUGGAGAGAAAAGCCUUAGGUUUGAACUGUUUUUCUAAAACCAGUUAGAUGACAGCUUCAUUGUUGUUGUUUUUUUUAUGGUCAUACAUACAGAGUAGCAAUACAAGCAGCAAUACACAAGAGACCCAUCUGAAAGGAAAAACAAUGAAUGAACGACACCCAAGGCUUCAAGCCGUGUGCAAAUUGAACAGGAUGAGAAGCAUUGGAAAAUAAAAAGAUGAGUCAGAAAAGCAGCCUGGACUCUAACCUCAUCAUGAACUGGAAUGAAAGCUAAAAAAACAAAAACAAAACAAAACCUGAAGCCCCGUUUGCAUACUUAGCAUGAAAGCAAAAGGGUUGAAAUAGCUCUUGCAGGAUAGAGAGGCAAAGGCAUGGAUGUGAGCCAAAUAGGCAAUGCUUCAUGAUAGGAGAGAUUAUUGUAGCAAAAGAUUAUUUCAAUUCCCUUAAAGGGAGUCACGUUCAUUAAUUUAAAAAAUAAACAUGAUAUUUAUUAUGAAGCAACAUUCAUUUACAUAUAUAAAUUUUACAGAGAAAAAUGGGUGAGGCAAAAAAAGAGUUGCUGCACCAAAUGUUUUGUAUUUUUUAAAAUGGUUAUUCUAUUGGCAAUAAUAAAUUGAUAGUUAUGGAGAGAUAUAAAAAGUACUACAUGAUUUGUAAAAAGCAGCACUUGUAUGCAAUCUGUAAUAAAUGCAAUAUUGUAAUUUGGGCCAUAGGAACUUCUCCUGGGAAAUUUUAUUCGUCUUGUCGAAAAUCUUAUCGCUUUCCUUGAAAUAAUUCAGUCAUUUUGAUCCAGAGGGAGUCCUUAAGUUGUUUAUAAUUCUGCUUUAGGAAUGUGAUGGUAACUUGGGAAGUGUAGAACACACCUGAGAAAUUAUAAGUUUUGUUGAAAUUCUUCUCUCAAAAUUCCUAAAAUGGGUAGCAUUUCCCUAUAGUCUUAAUUCAGUGGUAAAUAUCCUGUUAGCUGCAUCUAUUUACUCAUUAAAUGGAAGUGGUUGUGAAUGAUUAACCAUUAUGUGCAAUAGGAUUGACUCAUGGAAGUUGAUGCCUUCUAUGUCAGCUGAGCUAUAAAUCCACUUCAGGCUCCAACUAUUUGGAAAACUGUAUCUGUCCGUAUGUGUUUGCCUGUGUUCCAAGAUCCGGAAAUGGGGAGGAUACAAGAGAAAACCUUUUUGUGGCUACUUCUAAAUUGUGGAACUCCUUUCCCUGAAAGGGCCAAUUGGACCUCUCCCUGCUGUCUUUCCACUGGCAGAUAAAGAAACUAAUUUCAUGACUGAAUAGAGGAAAGCCUUCAACAAGCUAUGGAAAUGAACAAUAAUACAGAACCAGCUCCUUCCUGUUUGUUGAUCUUCAGGCUCACAUUACAGGCUAUUUCCUCGGGCAGCAAGAUCCAUAUCCAGAAAACAAAUGAUUUAGUACAAGACCAGAUUUCACCACUUUCAAACUGUAAGAGAGAAGCUGAAGGAACCGAAUUCUAAAGUUAAAGUCCUCAAACUAUCCUGCUGUCUUCACCUCGUAAAAACCAGUUCAAUGUUAUUAGAUUAUCAAUGUCAGCAGAACCACUACUUUUCCAAAAUAAAUAAAUAAAUAAAAUCUGGAAUGAUUUAGUUCUGGUUGGCCUCCCUGUAAUUUGAUGUAGAGGGCAUGAGAAAUAUCACAAUCUUUUUAAAGCAUUGCCAAGUGACUGUGUGCAAAUAACUUCCACUGGGAGCAGUUGCCCUAUCCACUUCUCUCUCCAACACACUGUACUGAGCAACUGCUUGAGUGCUUGUUCUGGUUGGAAGCAGCAUGUUAUGCCAUGAAAAAAAUAAACUUUGCAAGUCUA